UAUUUCGUUAGUGGCGCACGGGUGAGUAAUGUAUAGCUAACCUGCCCUUUAGUGGGGGACAACAGAUGGAAACGUCUGCUAAUACCCCAUACUCCUGCGUAUCAUAAGAUAUGUUGGGAAAGAUUUAUUGCUAAAGGAUGGGGCUUUAUGGUAUCAGCUAGUUGGCGGGGUAACGGCCCACCAAGUCUACGAUGGAUAGGGGUUCUGAGAGGAAGGUCCCCCACAUUGGAACUGAGACACGGUCCAAACUCCUACGGGAGGCAGCAGUGAGGAAUAUUGGUCAAUGGACGAGAGUCUGAACCAGCCAAGUAGCGUGAAGGAUGACUGCCCUAUGGGUUGUAAACUUCUUUUAUAAGGGAAUAAAGUGAGGGACGUGUCCCUUUUUGUAUGUACCUUAUGAAUAAGGAUCGGCUAACUCCGUGCCAGCAGCCGCGGUAAUACGGAGGAUCCAAGCGUUAUCCGGAUUUAUUGGGUUUAAAGGGAGCGUAGGUUGACAUAUAAGUCAGCUGUGAAAGUUUACGGCUCAACCGUGAAAUUGCAGUUGAUACUGUAUGUCUUGAGUGUACAAGAGGUGGGCGGAAUUCGUGGUGUAGCGGUGAAAUGCUUAGAUAUCACGAAGAACUCCAAUUGCGAAGGCAGCUCACUGGGGUACAACUGACACUGAGGCUCGAAAGUGUGGGUAUCAAACAGGAUUAGAUACCCUGGUAGUCCACACAGUAAACGAUGAAUACUCGCUGUUUGCGAUAUACAGUAAGCGGCCAAGCGAAAGCAUUAAGUAUUCCACCUGGGGAGUACGCCGGCAACGGUGAAACUCAAAGGAAUUGACGGGGGCCCGCACAAGCGGAGGAACAUGUGGUUUAAUUCGAUGAUACGCGAGGAACCUUACCCGGGCUUGAAUUGCAGAGGAACAUAGUUGAAAGAUUAUGGCCGCAAGGUCUCUGUGAAGGUGCUGCAUGGUUGUCGUCAGCUCGUGCCGUGAGGUGUCGGCUUAAGUGCCAUA
This 1000-nucleotide ribosomal RNA is filed under the name uncultured bacterium. RNAcentral describes it as "bacterial SSU rRNA". It matches the Rfam family "Bacterial small subunit ribosomal RNA", at positions 85 to 1091 of the family's 1533-position model. The record is from RNAcentral.